UCCAGAGAGAGGCUUCUAUAGACACAUCACCCUCUGGCUAAAUAGGUUAACUACGUCCCCUCCGGAAGAUGCUCCCGUACCCGCUGCCCGCCCUACCGGCUGCCCCCAGCAGAUGGUGCCGCUCUGCAGCAGAAGCCCUCUGCGGAGAACGCGGCUCGGCGGCCCCGCGCUCGGAGAGGGGAAGGUUUCUCUUUCCCGUCAGCAGAUUUCAGGUUGUCAAGAGCACCUUUUAUUCUGUGGCAUGCCUUCUUUAUAUGGUAAUCUACAACAGUUUUUUCGGUUUUACCUUCUCUCCCCCUCCCCCGCCUCCCUCCCUGCCUUAAUUACCUAAAUUGGUUGCUGUGGGGGAGAUGAAGGGAGCAAGAACCUUGACAGAAUUGCAAAGAAGCUCUGUUCCACAAGUCGCUUCUGAAGUGCUGUCUCCAUCACACAGCAGAACAUUGAUGUGAUUGGAGGAGCAGUGGGCUAUAGCUGGCUGGAGGUGCUGCUUGAUCAAAGUCUGGAGGCUGAACAUUCUCCUUCCUGUCUCACAAGUGAGCCUGGAUAGGAGCAUUUGAUGGCUUCCACACAAACUUCAGGAGCUGUCAGGGAGCAGACACGCUGCCAAGAAGCCAUCCUCCUUGGAAGAUAGAAGCAAGGUUCUCCUCCUAGCCAAGAGCUCAGGCGCAUAAGAAUGAAGUGGGCUCUGUGCUCCCUUUGCAGACACACAGUGCUCCUGCACGCCGCCGACCUGGCAAGAAAAAGUCCUGAAUGUGCCCCAGACCCUAAGACACCUGGCUGGCUUCUUUAACCUUUUCACAGAAGCCUUCUAAGCUAAGUAAUUUAUUUAUAGUAAUAUUUAUCCCUCUCAGACAUUUUCCUGGGGCGGUCUCUUUCAUACUUCUCUUCGUCUGAUUAGUUUCCAUAGUGACACUUAUUUGUAGAGUUUAGAGUUGCUCCUAGCAGGUUUCUGCAAAUGCCAGCCGCAUGUGCGCCAUGUUAAUAAGACAAAGCCAGCCCUAGUUCUUUCCUUUUGAUGGUUUGAUUUUGCUCUGUAUUUGGGAGCACCCUUGGGGAGAAAAUGAAAUAAAACAAAAAGAAGUGGGGCAGAGGCUCCUUUGGAUCCCAGAAGCUUAUUUUUCUGGGUGGUACUUUUGACUGAGCUAGUUCUGUCUGAAUGUCAGUGGCAGCCUCUGAAGUGCUGUCUGUCUGCAUGAACUAUUAUGUAAGCGAGGGAAACCUUCCAUUAAAGCAAGGCCUUUAGACUGCUGCUUUAUUUAAAAUGCAGAAUUACAUGAAAAAGCAAUUCAAUUGAGUGGUGCCUUGUAGGUUGCCUUUUAUCCCAGGCUGAAGUAGGAACUUGUUUUUCUUCUAGGGAAAUUACUACUAUUUUAAAAAUAGGAGAAUGCUAAAAUCAGAUGCAAGCUUGUAAACACAUGCAUGUACACACACAUCUUAACAGCAUGCUGUUCUGUGAAAGGGCUAAACAAAUGUCUGCAAUCAGGGGAUAAAAGCAACCCCCAUACUGACAAGAGCAAUUUCAGGAAUAUGGCUAUUAAAAAAAAAAGCUGAUUCUUUGCGACAAUCACAAUGAAUUUGUAAGAAAAAAAAAAAAGAUAAUUAUAGAAGUAGACCUAAAAUUUUAAAAUUUGUGUUUUCUCACCCCUCAUCCUUCUGAAUCUUUGCAAAACGAAGGCAAUCAGUGGGGGGACGGAAGACAGAUUUGUGAAGCAGGAAAUCUUGACUUCAUUGUAGAGUGUCAGUUCCAUGUAGUGUCACUGGCCUUCAGAUGUGCUGCAAAGAGGAGGAGAAGGAUGUCCUCAAUGCAUCUCAUGCUGCUCAGUAGGAUGGAAUCUGCUGAGGAAGCUCAGUGAGACAGAUGGUGGCUGCAGGUGAAAUCUUGACAAGAAAUCAAAUGAAAUCUCCAGUGAAUAUUAUUAUAGGGAGAAGAGCAGUGCUUUCUCAAUUUAUGUUCCU
Molecule: long non-coding RNA, 1956 nt
Organism: Lagopus muta (rock ptarmigan)
Lineage: Eukaryota; Metazoa; Chordata; Aves; Galliformes; Phasianidae
Exons: 3
Source: RefSeq, a predicted model, not a curated record